Molecule: ribosomal RNA, 853 nt
Filed under: Streptomyces sp.
Lineage: Bacteria; Bacillati; Actinomycetota; Actinomycetes; Kitasatosporales; Streptomycetaceae
Description: bacterial SSU rRNA
Rfam family: Bacterial small subunit ribosomal RNA
Source: RNAcentral
AGCAGUGGGAUUUUUGCCCAAUGGCGAAAGCCUGAUGCAGCGACGCCGCUUGAGGGAUGACGGCCUUCCGGGUUGUAAACUUUUUCAGCAGGAAGAAGCGAAAGUGACGGUACCUGCAGAAGAAGCGCCGGCUAACUACGUGCCAGCAGCCGCGGUAAUACGUAGGGCGCAAGCGUUGUCCGGAAUUAUUGGGCGUAAAGAGCUCGUAGGCGGUCUGUCACGUCGGAUGUGAAAGCCCGGGGCUUAACCCCGGGUCUGCAUUCGAUACGGGCAGACUAGAGUGUGGUAGGAGAGAUCGGAAUUCCUGGUGUAGCGGUGAAAUGCGCAGAUAUCAGGAGGAACACCGGUGGCGAAGGCGGAUCUCUGGGCCAUUACUGACGCUGAGGAGCGAAAGCGUGGGGAGCGAACAGGAUUAGAUACCCUGGUAGUCCACGCCGUAAACGGUGGGAACUAGGUGUUGGCGACAUUCCACGUCGUCGGUGCCGCAGCUAACGCAUUAAGUUCCCCGCCUGGGGAGUACGGCCGCAAGGCUAAAACUCAAAGGAAUUGACGGGGGCCCGCACAAGCAGCGGAGCAUGUGGCUUAAUUCGACGCAACGCGAAGAACCUUACCAAGGCUUGACAUCGCCCGGAAAGCAUCAGAGAUGGUGCCCCCCUUGUGGUCGGGUGACAGGUGGUGCAUGGCUGUCGUCAGCUCGUGUCGUGAGAUGUUGGGUUAAGUCCCGCAACGAGCGCAACCCUUGUUCUGUGUUGCCAGCAUGCCCUUCGGGGUGAUGGGGACUCACAGGAGACUGCCGGGGUCAACUCGGAGGAAGGUGGGGACGACGUCAAGUCAUCAUGCCCCUUAUGUCUUU